GUAAAUAUGCAAUUAAGGGUGUCACACAAUUAUUUCACACCAUUCAUCAUAAUAUUUAGUCAUGCUCAUUAUUUAAUUCAAAACAUAAAGCAUUGCACAAUACGCAGCGGAUAGAGAUCAAAUCGAUCAUUCAAAACGUGUACCACACUGCAUGUAAACUGGUUCAAAACCACAAUAAACAAUUAAAACAUCCCAUCCCGAUGUUACAUCUAUCAGAGCACGACCCACUAAGGAGACUACACUAGACUCCAAUCACUAGCUUC
Molecule: long non-coding RNA, 263 nt
Filed under: Lathyrus oleraceus (garden pea)
Lineage: Eukaryota; Viridiplantae; Streptophyta; Magnoliopsida; Fabales; Fabaceae
Description: Pisum sativum (pea) long non-coding RNA (PSAT_LNC006659)
Source: RNAcentral